ACAGCCUUCAGAAGAUUAUUAGAGUCUCAAUUUGAGGACUAAUUCCCUAAAGAGACAUGAAAAAUUCAACUAUGAUUUCAAACAUGACUGCCCUCAGGAUGUAUGUUGGUGGAGCAUUAACUGAGGAGCCAAACUCACCCUUGGCCUGCAUCACUACCCAAGGAGAUAUGUGAACUGUGAGAAGGCAACCAGUGGAGAGGGAAAGAGCCCAGGAAGGAAAAACAUGAUGUACAACAGCUGAAAAGGAAUUACCCAACAAAGGACCAGGGGAUUUUAAUCGUUUGAUCGACUCCUGACAAUUGGAGGUUUGACAUGUUUGUUUUUAAGAAGUCACUAACUCUUUUUGCCUGAAUCAGAGGAACAUUCAUGUGGCUGUUAGUCAUUCUGAACUUGGUAAGGACCUGAAGCACAGGCUGAAGGGUAGGUCCCAGGUAUCAGUGACUGAGGUAUUUAGCAAGGUCCAGCAGGACUCUAACAGCAUCCACUGCACCUUCCUUAUAAGUGGGAACUAUUAUGUGACAGAAUUAUAUGUUUCAUUUUUUUUCACCUGUGGAAGAUGGUUGUGAAGAUAAUAAAGUAACAUUCACUGAG
This is a long non-coding RNA of Herpailurus yagouaroundi (jaguarundi), 591 nucleotides long. RefSeq lists it as uncharacterized. The record is from RefSeq and is a predicted model, not a curated record. The transcript is spliced from 2 exons. Lineage: Eukaryota; Metazoa; Chordata; Mammalia; Carnivora; Felidae.